CUCUCCUUUGUGGUGUUUUCCCUGUGAUCCUAGAUCUUUGGAGGCAGAGCUGAGAGAGCAAGGAAGACUGCCUGGCAAACAAAUGAGAAUGCUCAGAGAAUUGAAAAUUAGGAGAGAAAAGAAGGGGCUAAAAUAACACUUUCCACUGUGCCCAGCCCCCUCCUUGAGAUAAAGCAAUCAUUAGGACACAGUGGGGCCAUGGAGCAGGAGCAGCAGGAGCUCCCUGAGGUUUUCUUAAAGCCAUGUGGCAGCAAGCUGGCUAAACUGUUCUUCAAGAUGUAACAGUCACUUGUUCUGGAAGCAAUGUACUGCUGGCUACGGACUUAAGUAGCAACAGUUGGGGAAGGAUACAGUUUUUGAAGUACCGAACAUUCACUAAAUUGCCACUGAGAGAUUCGGAGCACAAGUCCUUUAACUUCUAUUCCAAGUGAUGCCAAAGGAAAACAGAACUAUGUUUGCAUGGAGUGGCAUCAGAAUUGCAGCACGCUGUCCCUGUUUUUUCAACCUGCACUUCAGGUCAGCCUCCCUGCUCUGCCAGACAUUCCAAGGCAGGAAAUGGUCCUGCUGUCUGCAGUGUAGCUUGUCGAGAGCUGAGUAAUACUUAGCACAAGGAUAGCUUUUCAGAUAACCACUGGACCAAAUGAAAGUGGGACUGUGUUGACACAUUCUGAUUCAGAAGGAGAUAUCUACAUGACUAAGGGACGUUUUCAAUUUCUAGGAUCUAGAAAUAGAAUUGCAAAUUUGCUCUAGUCUCCAUGAAGUAUCUGGAUGGGGUGGGUCCUCCUACUCUGCAUGAUACCAGCAGGGUAAUGAAAGAAUUGUAUUUUCUUCUGUGUUAGGAAAAGAAGGGGGAAGAAUUGUCCAUCUGCUGGGCUCCUUUCUUUUUGCCCUGGCUGUCGGGUAUCAGAUUUCCUUCAUCUGAGAAGGAAUGGGAGUUUCUCACAAGUGAGAAAAGCAUACCUUCCCCAGCAAGUGGACUUUCCAAAAACUGGGGAAGAACUAAUAUGACAAACGUUUUCCUGGCCAAUUAAAUAGAAAUCGCAUGUUACUUGCUCUCCCUAUCUUUGAAUCUGUUUAAUGUUUGAAUUGGUUGAAACAAAUAUGAAUAGAUGAAACGUACUCACUUUGGCUCUAGUUACCACAACUAUUUAGAACAGCUAAAUAGAAGUUAGUCAGAAGAUAACUUUCCCUGAUUGUACUCUAUGAAACUAUACACAUUCACCAGAAAAUUUAGUAUACAUGAUUACAUUUUGAAUUAUGCUUUAUUCUUAAGGCUUUUCAAACAGCUACUAAUAAAAAUAUCCUUUUAAAUUUGGUUUUCCUGAGUAACCAGAGGACGAGGAAAGCAAACAUGUUUCGGCAGUGGCAUCUAGUGGUCAAACUUCUGUGUAAUGAAACUAUGAAGGGAGACUGCCAUUUUUCAAGAAAGAAAUUUUCUUUAAGAUAGUCUGCUGUAGGAAGUGUAAAAUAAUUAAAAAUAAUAAAAAAAAAAGCAUUUGUUUUUUGUUGGAAAUGGGAAUUUUGCUGGAGGAUGUUGUCUGUGUUACUGUAGCUGGUAGCAGGGUAUUUCAAAAAUUGUAAGAAAAAACAUUACAAAAGUGGCAUUUUUUUCUGGUUUCUGUGUAGCCUCACUUUGCUUAUGUUUAUGCUACCAUGCUCUAGUGCAUCCACCAGACUGCAGAAAUCCAUCCUACCAAUCGUGAAU
Lagopus muta (rock ptarmigan) is the source of this 1705-nucleotide long non-coding RNA. RefSeq lists it as uncharacterized. The record is from RefSeq and is a predicted model, not a curated record. The transcript is spliced from 4 exons. Lineage: Eukaryota; Metazoa; Chordata; Aves; Galliformes; Phasianidae.